AGAAAAAAAGCCGGAAUAGCUC
This 22-nucleotide transfer RNA is filed under the name Octoblepharum arthrocormoides. RNAcentral describes it as "partial tRNA-Phe". The record is from RNAcentral. Lineage: Eukaryota; Viridiplantae; Streptophyta; Bryopsida; Dicranales; Calymperaceae.